UCGCACAAGUCUUGAGGAGGCAUG
This 24-nucleotide non-coding RNA is filed under the name Arabidopsis thaliana (thale cress). Lineage: Eukaryota; Viridiplantae; Streptophyta; Magnoliopsida; Brassicales; Brassicaceae. The record is from RNAcentral.